GAUGAACGCUAGCGGGAGGCCUAACACAUGCAAGCCGAGCGGUAUUGUUUCUUCGGAAAUGAGAGAGCGGCGUACGGGUGCGGAACACGUGUGCAACCUGCCUUUAUCUGGGGGAUAGCCUUUCGAAAGGAAGAUUAAUACUCCAUAAUAUAUUGAACGGCAUCGUUUAAUAUUGAAAGCUCCGGCGGAUAGAGAUGGGCACGCGCAAGAUUAGCUAGUUGGUGAGGUAACGGCUCACCAAGGCGAUGAUCUUUAGGGGGCCUGAGAGGGUGAUCCCCCACACUGGUACUGAGACACGGACCAGACUCCUACGGGAGGCAGCAGUGAGGAAUAUUGGUCAAUGGGUGCAAGCCUGAACCAGCCAUCCCGCGUGAAGGACGACUGCCCUAUGGGUUGUAAACUUCUUUUGUAUAGGGAUAAACCUACCCUCGUGAGGGUAGCUGAAGGUACUAUACGAAUAAGCACCGGCUAACUCCGUGCCAGCAGCCGCGGUAAUACGGAGGGUGCAAGCGUUAUCCGGAUUUAUUGGGUUUAAAGGGUCCCCAGGCGGACUUAUAAGUCAGUGGUGAAAGCCUGUCGCUUAACGAUAGAACUGCCAUUGAUACUGUAAGUCUUGAGUAUAUUUGAGGUAGCUGGAAUAAGUAGUGUAGCGGUGAAAUGCAUAGAUAUUACUUAGAACACCAAUUGCGAAGGCAGGUUACCAAGAUAUAACUGACGCUGAGGGACGAAAGCGUGGGGAGCGGACAGGAUUAGAUACCCUGGUAGUCCACGCCGUAAACGAUGCUAACUCGUUUUUGGGCUUUAGGGUUCAGAGACCAAGCGAAAGUGAUAAGUUAGCCACCUGGGGAGUACGCUCGCAAGAGCGAAACUCAAAGGAAUUGACGGGGGCCCGCACAAGCGGUGGAUUAUGUGGUUUAAUUCGAUGAUACGCGAGGAACCUUACCAAGACUUAAAUGGGAAUUGACAGCUUUAGAAAUAGAGCUUUCUUCGGACAAUUUUCAAGGUGCUGCAUGGUUGUCGUCAGCUCGUGCCGUGAGGUGUUAGGUUAAGUCCUGCAACGAGCGCAACCCCUGUCACUAGUUGCCAUCAUUCAGUUGGGGACUCUAGUGAGACUGCCUACGCAAGUAGAGAGGAAGGUGGGGAUGACGUCAAAUCAUCACGGCCCUUACGUCUUGGGCCACACACGUAAUACAAUGGCCGGUACAGAGGGCAGCUACACAGCGAUGUGAUGCAAAUCUCGAAAGCCGGUCUCAGUUCGGAUUGGAGUCUGCAACUCGACUCUAUGAAGCUGGAAUCGCUAGUAAUCGCGCAUCAGCCAUGGCGCGGUGAAUACGUUCCCGGGCCU
Molecule: ribosomal RNA, 1345 nt
Filed under: uncultured bacterium
Lineage: Bacteria
Description: bacterial SSU rRNA
Rfam family: Bacterial small subunit ribosomal RNA
Source: RNAcentral